UCGGCAUAACGUAAAAUGCCAAGCGCCCAGUGGCACCCACCCGCCUCUAUCACCGGGCAAAGUCUGGUUAUAAAAUCCCAGUUGUUAGUCCCAAAUCCAUGAGCUCUGGUUUUAAUCGCCUGUGGUUUCUAUUCUCGUUUUUAUCGCCCAAGCUAUAAGCAACUAUGGCCAGAAAAUUCUUUGUCGGCGGCAACUGGAAAUGCAAUGGAACAACUGAGGAGGUGAAGAAGAUUGUCACCAUUUUGAACGAAGCCGAGGUCCCUUCUGAGGAUGUUGUGGAGGUUGUUGUGAGCCCUCCCUUUGUAUUUCUUUCACUGGUAAAAGGUUUACUGAGGGAGGGCUCACAACAACCUCCACAACA
Molecule: unclassified non-coding RNA, 361 nt
Filed under: Hevea brasiliensis (rubber tree)
Lineage: Eukaryota; Viridiplantae; Streptophyta; Magnoliopsida; Malpighiales; Euphorbiaceae
Source: RNAcentral